UACGUAGGGUGCAAGCGUUAAUCGGAAUUACUGGGCGUAAAGCGUGCGCAGGCGGUUAUGUAAGACAGGUGUGAAAUCCCCGGGCUUAACCUGGGAACUGCAUUUGUGACUGCACAGCUGGAGUGCGGCAGAGGGGGAUGGAAUUCCGCGUGUAGCAGUGAAAUGCGUAGAUAUGCGGAGGAACACCGAUGGCGAAGGCAAUCCCCUGGGCCUGCACUGACGCUCAUGCACGAAAGCGUGGGGAGAAAACAGG
RNAcentral lists this ribosomal RNA (253 nucleotides) under uncultured bacterium. RNAcentral describes it as "partial 16S ribosomal RNA". It matches the Rfam family "Bacterial small subunit ribosomal RNA", at positions 524 to 776 of the family's 1533-position model. The record is from RNAcentral.